RNAcentral lists this unclassified non-coding RNA (141 nucleotides) under uncultured Ascomycota. RNAcentral's name for it is "sequence contains ITS2". Lineage: Eukaryota; Fungi; Ascomycota. The record is from RNAcentral.
UAACCAAUCUAGCUCUGCUAGGAUAUUGGGUUCGCCAGAGGCCUACCUUAAAACUCGUAGUACUGCUAUCAUGCCCUAAGCGUAGUAACUUUAUCGCUCAAGGUGCGUGGUGUGUCAGCUACCUCAAUAACCUACAAUCAC